Cucurbita moschata (crookneck pumpkin) is the source of this 508-nucleotide long non-coding RNA. RefSeq lists it as uncharacterized. The transcript is spliced from 3 exons. NCBI's taxonomy places the organism in Eukaryota, Viridiplantae, Streptophyta, Magnoliopsida, Cucurbitales, Cucurbitaceae. The record is from RefSeq and is a predicted model, not a curated record.
AGGUUUCUACACCCUUAUAAAUGGUGGUUUGUUCUCCUCCCCAACCAACGUGGGACAUCACAAAAGACAUGAAAAAGAAGGCCAUUCAUCAUUAUGAAAAGAAUCUGAAGGUAGUGAAAUUCCGGUCCCUACUGGUUCACAUAUUUGCUGCCAUUGGAUCUCGACAAAAAGGUUAAAGAACAAGAACAAGAACAAGAAAGAAUAAGAAACGGCUCAUCCUUAAUGAUACUCGAAGCUCGAAAGAUGGAUUCAUCUUCGGGAGAACGAUCUUGUCGAUAGUUCAACAUCGUCUUUUGUGAAAUGUCUGCCAUGUCGAUCGAAAAUCUUAUUCUUUGAUCUGGAACAAAAACGUCCACAAUGGGAAGGGACAAGGAUAGCUUUAGUAAAGCUGAGGUCAAGGCAUAUCUUGGCAAGCACACCAAAAAAAGGAAAAAAAAAAAGGAGAUGAACUUGCCUUUUGAAGCAUAUGUUCCUGGUUAUUUGAUCAAGCAAAUGGUCCAAAUGAAAG